AUAGGCAACUUGCUGGCCGUCACACAGCUUGAAAUUUAAAGCUAUAUAGUUGACUCUUGAAUUCUACUGUACUCACUGUGACACAAUGACCCUUAUUGUGACUACCUACCAGCCGCUUUCAUCAUGAAACACUCUAUCUGCCCUCUCUUGUCACACUCACAGCAAUCCUGUGAGCUAAGUAUUCUUAUUCCCAUCUCCUUGAUGGGGUUGAAACAUAAGUCAGUUGAUGCACUGAGCCAAGAUCACACAAGUGCAACUUUAGUCCAAGUCUGUCAGUUCGAAGCCAGAACCCUUAAAACUUCUCUGCCACUAGAUGCAGAGACAGAAGAAAGCCAUGUGCGGAGGAGAACCCAGCCCUCACCAGACACCACAUCUGCCAACACCUUGAUCUUGGAUUUCCCUUCUCUACAACAGGAUUCUGUAUCUGCUGCUUAACUUGUGAUAUCUACGGCAUUCUCUACAGCAGCUGGAAAGGCUAAGUCGCGUGCUCUGAGGGAAGAUGAGCAAAGUAAAAUUUCUUACAAGUCUUUCAGACAACUGUGAAAUGCCAGCUCUUCCAAUUGUACUCCCUGCCUACAGCACAAAUGUAACCUGAAAUACACAAAAGGGAGAGAGGAAAGAUUCAAAGUAUUCCAGAACCACGAAAAAGAAUCCUCGGUCUGCCAUUUUUAGGCAGUAUGAAAUUUGGCCAUGUCACUUAAGCCUCAAUACUUUUUCUCUGAGAAAAGUAGCAGCUCUCCUCAGAGGUUUAUUCACAAGAACUAUUUUUAAAACAUCAUUAUGGAGGCUGAGGAGACAGUUCUGCAAUUAACAGCACCUACUGCUCCUGCAGAAGACCUGAGUUCAGUUCCCACACCCACGUUGAAGGGUUCACAACACCCUAUAGCUCUGGCUCCAGGGGAGCUGAGAUCUCUUGGCUUCUCUGGGCACUUGAGUUCAAGUAUGCAUACCCAUCCAGAGACACACAUACACAUAACUCCAAAUAUACAACAUGAUUAUGAGGAAAUGCAUCUAGUAAAGAUAUAAUUUGAAAAGGAAGAAAGCAUUCCAGUUUCAAGAUAACCAUGGCUUACUUGUGGACAAAAGAAAAGACAGGACCAUGGGAAUAAUCACCUGUGGGUUUCAAUCACACCUGAGGUUUGGGAAAGUUGGGGGGAGGGUUGGAUUUUUUUAUUACUUUUUUGAGACAGGAUUUCUCAUUGUAGCCUUGGCUGUUACUGAACUCACUCUGUAGACCAGACUGACCUCAAACUCAGAGAUCCACCUGCCUCUGCCUCCCAAGUGCUGGUAUGAAAAGCACAAGCCACCACUGCCGACCUAACAUCUGAGUAAUUUUAAGAAAUAUCUGAAGCAAGAAUAUUACUAUUUAUCUGAGCGAUAAGUUCCUGAGAGUACUUUUACUUUCCUCUGUAUGAGAUGUCUAACAAUAUCAAGAUCAAAUAGGGGCUAUUUGAUCAGAGGUUGAGAGUAUAGGCUCUGAUUUAAAAACCCUCCUGCAAAGUAAAGGAAAUAAUGAACAAAAUUAGAUUGCAACUUGGAGACUGAAAAUAAUUGUAAACUCUUUGUCUAAUAAGGGGCAAAUGCCAAAAAUAAUAAAGGACUCGUGUGAUCCAGUGGUAUGAAAGCAAACAAUCUCUUUAAAACAUAGAACAUUUCUGCAGAGAAUAUACAAAAUGGCCAAGGAGAAUAUGAAAAGUUCCUGGGCAUUAUUAGUCAUCAGGGUAAAGCAAAUCAAAACCACAAGACACUGCCCCAUGAUUACUAAGAAGGACACUUGCAAACAGUCAAGAGAUAAGAAAUGAAUGUUAACAAGGAAACAAAGUAACUGUUGGUAGGAAGUAUACUGUUGGUACUCAUCUCUAUGAAAACAACUACUAUGAAAAGAAAAGUCCUAAGGUUACUAAAGAACUUAAAAAUAGAACUUCCACACGACCAACAAGCUCUCUUGUAGGCAUCUACCCUUAGGAAAUGACAUCAUCAGUUCUUAAAGAUGACUGUGCUUCCAAGCUCACAAUAGUCUGCAGCUCUGUUCAUAAAAGUUGAGAGAAAAAGGCAAAGGAAGCCCUGAUCAGUGACUGAACAAAGAAGUGGAGGUUAUCAAUCGUGGUAUCCAAGCAGAACACCACUCGGCCUUUGAAAGAAAAAGAGACUCUGCCAGCUGACAUAACCCGGAUGGUGUUCUAAGUCAAAUAAGCACAUACCAGAGAAGAAAAUACUGUCUGAUCUCAUCUACCUUCAGCAUCUUAGAACAGAAAAAGCCAGAGGGUCAGGGAGUUUGCUCUGAGAUGGUGUCUCCUAGUAACAUCAAAAAUUAAAUCUCCAUAAAGUCUCACCAACAUGACAGCCCAAAUGGGAGCUGAACAAGGAGGACACAAUGGACAUACCCAAGUGGACAAGAACAAGCCCACAGAGACCACCACCUUACACAAUGAAAUACAGACAACGAGAAAAGCUUCCAGUGGGAGGGUUGGUCUUCCCAGAGUAGAGUAUACCAAUUGGCCAGUGCCAAAGGAUCAGUCCAGAAAACAUACACACCAGAAACAUUAUAUGAAUGAUACAGGUUAUAUUCAGGAAUAUACAUAUACACACAGACACAUAAACACACACACACACACACACACACACACACACACAUAUAUAUAUAUAUAUAUUCACACAUACAUUACAUAUACACAUACACACACAUACAUACACACACAUAUAUAUACACACACAUACAUUACAUAUACACACAUAUAUAUACAUACAUACACAUACAUUACAUAUACACAUGCACACAUACAUGUAUAUGCAUACAAUAGCAACACUUUUAGUGAGAAAAGAGGCCUCAGGUUUGAAGAAGAAUGGGAAGAGUUAUAUGGGGAUGAGUAGAGAGAAGAGAGAAAUGUAAUUAAAUUAUAAUCUCAAAAAUAAAGAACUAUGAAUGCUUAAUAUGUAGAGUUAGAAAACAAGACCAUGGUAGUGGAAGGGGUGGGGGCAUAGAGGAAAUGUGAAAUACAGGUCAGAAGUUACAAAGCAGUACAUACGUAAGCUGAAGAAGUCAAGAAGACUAUGUGCAGCAGGUGGACAUAACAAUAACAAGGGGCUGGAGAGAUGGCUCAGGGGUUAAGAGCACUGAUUGCUCUUCCAGAGGGCCUGAGUUCAAAUCCCAGCAACCACAUGGUGGCUCACAACCAUCUAUAAGAUCUGAUGCCCUCUUCUGGUGUGACUGAAGACAGUGAUGGUGUACUCACAUACAUAAAAUAAAUAAAAUCAAAGAGGAGGAGAAGGAGGAAGGAAGGAAGGAAGGAAGGAAGAAAGGAAGGAAGAAUAACAUCAUGUUGUGUACCUCAACUAUAUAUAAAAUGUAUGUAUUUAAAACUGAGUGUGUAGUCAAAGCUUGGCUUAGAAUGAAGAUUUGAGUCCUGCUAUCUGAAUGAUCAUUUACAAGUGAAGUGUUGAAUAGUAAUAAUCACAGCUGUCUUGUCAAAUUUAAAUUAUGUGAAGUUUUCAGAGAUAUCUAUUUUCCUGUGCCUGCCAUAAGUAAAAUAUUCAAAAAGUUAGUAGAUACUCGGUCCUCUUUUAGACAUUAAUUAAACUAAUAUCAUAAUCCAGCAAGUUAAAAAUGUUUUCUAUUUUGUUUCCAGAACCUAAAGACUUAGAAUCUCAUUCUUUUUAUUGAUGUCCUUUCAACUUAUUUCCAUAACAACAGAAUAAAUGAGACAGAACUCAAGCUCAUUGACAUGACAGCCCCACCCUCAUUCUAAAAGCAGGAAAACUGGGUUUCAACAUUCAGAGUGGAGCAGCAUCUUCCGAACAAUAGAGUCCCUUUCACACCCAGCUGCUUCCCGCACACAGCUGAACAAAGGAAGCUUCCAGACAAAGUGGUACUUUAAAAGGUCCCCUGUGAAGAGCUCAUAAUGUCCCUAUUGUUUGGGUCAUGAUCACCUUUGACAGGGUCCUUAGAACAGAAGGUGCUGUGGGCUCUGGUGUGCCCCACUCUACAUGUGGUAGAUUCAAGCCUUCACCACCUACCCAGAGCUCCUUGGGGCCCACACAGUCCUGCAGACAAGGGCAUCUGACAGCUCUGAAGAGCUGCAGAUGUUUCCAGAUAACAAGCCCGGGAGCUGUGUGAUCAUAACUCCUCAGACGUUGCUUCCUGGUCCAUCCAGACAUGACAAGUCACCACCAGAAGCUCCCACCUCGAGACAGAGCCACUCUGCCAUGCCUUCCAUUCAAUGACGGCCAGAGAUUCGUUUGAAACCGAAGGAGAGUGUCCGGGGUCCUUCCACAUGAAGGCGGUGAGCCCUGCUGCUGCCCACUCUGGGAACAGUGGGACAGCUGCCUCGGCAGCUGCUGGCUGCCCUUCCUUGGCUGCACUUCCUCUCUGUGUCUAGAGGUAAGUGUUACCGUGCCAGCUUGGACUACCCUCAUAGGCAUCUGGAGAGAAACUAUGUAAGCAGGUCUCACCAACCUGGGAGUGUGGACUGAUACUAAUCCGGAGGAGAAUCAAUGUUAGUUGUUCAUUUGCCUUGGACUAGACGCUGUUCAAAGCUCUCUUCUGGUUUACUCAUUUAAUCCUCACGGCACUGCUUCCAAGUGUAAGGAAUCGUGUCCAUAUGUCAAAUGAGGGACAAAGAGACCAGUAAAGUUACCUAAUUCCAGCAGUGCCUGAGCUUGGAGAGCACUAUACCAUGGGUUUGAGCCUGUGGGUAUCCUGAGAGACCUCUAGGCUUUGUAGAGAUUUUUCUGCGUGGCGGACAACCCCCUCCCAACUCAUCUCCUUUCUCUCCUCCCUCCCUCUUCAGUCUCCCAUCUCUUUAGCACAGUGUCCCUCUAAACUCAUCAAAGAGAGCUCAGUGACUUGGAAGGAUGCCAGCUCUGCCAUUUAGUUGAGUGUGGCCUUGGGUGAGUAACUGCACCUCUCUGGGUCACAUUUUCUUAGGAGGAGUGCGCUAAUGGUACCUCUCAGACAGUGCUAUUGGGCUAUUGAAUGGGGCCCAGUGCAAAACGUGCCCUAUGGCCCUAACCUCCUGAGGAGAGUAUUCUUGGGGAUGGAAAUUCGCCCCUGGGAGGCAGUGAAGCUUAGAAAGCAAGAGGCAGAGUCUCAGACACCAGCUCAGGGGGUCAGUCCUGUCUUUCACUGGCUCUGGCCUCAAGCACAAGGCCACAGUGUGCUAUUCUCUCAGUUUGUGCCCCAAGAGAGGAACCUGGCUAGGGUAUGCCUGCCCGAGUGUGUGUGCCGCACGUGUCUUGCUGUAAGCCAGACAGCCUACACUGAGCAGGAGACUCCAUCUUUCUAGGCCUCAGCAGCUCUAGCUCCCGUCAAAAGGCAAUAGGAUGCCCUCUCUGGCCCCAGGCGUAUCUGUAGCUGGUCCUUAGACCUGUGCUAUCUGGCCCCAGGCACUCAGAUGAGUAAGCUAACUGUGAUUCACUAGCUCUUACAAACCAUUUCUGAGACUUCCUGCUUCCUCUAAGUAACCAAGAAAUGAAGACAACACCCAGUUUUUUUUUUUAACACAAGGCGGCCAAUCAGAACUCCAGAUGAAUAGAUGAUAUAACCACAAGCCACCUGCAAUCUAACACCUCCCCUGCCCCUUUUAACACCUGGGAGUAAGUUCUAGCACGUUUCCUCAUCUGCCGUCCCAGUUAGCCAAGAUUCCACGUGGCCAUCCUCGUUCUCAAUGAGGAUGAUUUUAUUCUCUGUCAAAAGAUUCCGAAAAGACCCACCAAAUAUUAAUCAUGAAAGGCACGAAAGGCCGGACCGUCUGCAGGAUCAACACCACACCUCAGUAAGAGCUUAAUCAGUGUGUGCCCCGUUUCUUUUAAGCAGUUAUUACAAGAUCUCCGAAAGCCAGCUUACUCGUUACACCACUAACUCCUUCCCAGCUUCAUGCCACCUUUAACGCCACUUCCCAGCAGUUUGCAGACAAUGGCACAGAGGGUCACCAUUGAGUGAAGUUAAACCUUUAUUUAAGAGCAAGACAGGAGAGAGCUCCAGGGCUCAGAGACUUCUCUUCUGCAUAACCAAACUGUUUCUCCAUUCCCUCUGCCCGUGAUCUGGCUUACAGUCCUCUCCGCCCGCCACUGGCUGCUGGCGCUUGGACACAUGCCAAUGUGCUAGUGUCCUUGUUAAGCAAGCUGUGCACCGACUCUUCUCCUCCAACCCAGAGGUUGGACUUGGCCUUGGGGCUGACAGGGCUGCAGGAUCCACUGCGGUUUCCACAGAAGGAAACCACCCAGAUGGGGCUUUGCCUAUACAGCAAAUCAGGUCAGCACCCAGCACACUAGGAGGGCAGGGUAUACUGAGUUUUGCUCAGUCUCCUGUGGCUUUUGACUGGAGUCCUUUCCCUCACACCCUGCCCACGCCUGUCAGACAAAAGAGUUCAAAUCUGUCAGCUUAAGAUGUCUCAGAAACGUUUGUAACCGUGUCUCCAGUGAAACGUAUGUAUCGGUCCCAAGGACUCACUGGUUGUAAAUAACGAAAGUAACUGAUAACCACUUAUAAGCCCAUCCUCCCUUGGCCUGAAGACCUGUUUUCUCAAAGCUUCGUUUGUUAGGGGAAAACAGACAAGGGAAGUGACUCUGCUCACCAGUACCAGCUUCAGUUCAACUUUUCUAAAUUACUAACAGGAAACUCCAGGGCAGAAUGGCACUCUUUGCUGAAUGUGAUUGCUUAUCUCCGACCCUCUGUUUGUUUCUGACCAGGCUGAGGGAGGGCCUACUUGUUCCCACUCUACAAAGGCACAGCCCCUGUCGGCAUUCUAAGCGUACAAUGGAAAAGGCAGAAAAUCAUCUAGGACAGGAGCUGGUGGUGUGGCUUGACAGGUCAAGGUCCCUACUGUCAAACCUCACAACCUGUGUUCGAUUUCCCAGGACUCGUAUAGCCAAAGGAAAGAACCAAUUCUCACAAGAUGUCGUCUGACCUCCACACUAGAGCCUUGGCAUACACACAAACACACACACACACACACACGCACACGCACAUGCACACGCACACGCACACACACACACACACAAAACAAACAAACGUGGGCAAAGGACACUUCUAGAACAAGCACCAUUGAUAUCCUGGCCAUGACAUAGGCAAAUGGGAGACUUUACUCCUAGCCUCAGUCCUUAGCCAAUUUACAGCCAACAUCCCAUUUUAGCCUCCCCAUCACGGAUAGUCCCAUCUCAGGGGCCUAGCUCCUCACAAAGGACUUGAACAUCUCCUGACUCACCCAGGAACAUCAGCAGCAAAAAGUCAAUGAGAACCCAUGAAGACGUUGUUUUCACAGCCAAGGACCGAAGAGGUGUCCCCAGGGACUGCGACCACCCGAGGCCACUCACUCCAGCAAGGACACAUAUAGAAAUUCCAAACUGGCAGUCCUCAAAACAGCUAUUGUGAGGCUAUGAUGGGAUGCCUAUCGAUCCCGGAAACUGAACCAUCCAGGGAGGGCCUUGGAGCAUGGGUCCUGGGGCUGCACAUCCCCGUGUCCUCUUUAGUGAGUCAAAGUGAUCCCACUGAGUGAACAGGAAUUCAGGUUGGGAUUCCAACUCUGAGUUCUCUAGUCCAGAGGUCCUCAGUUUGGGACUAUUUUCCCUCUGAUGAUAUUUAUCUUUGCCCUAAUUUGGAGCCAGGUAGAAGGCUGGAUGCUCUUUUUGAUAGGUAGAGGCCAGACAUGCUGCUUGGUUCACACAUGGACUGAGUAUGUACCGCAAUGGCUCAGGAAUUGGAGUUGGGUCCCAGAGUGGCAACACUAGGACAUGGUGGGACCUUCAAGAGGCUGAACACAGUGGAAGCUGGAGAGGUCAUUGGGACAUGGCUUUUGGAAAUGAGAUUGAUUUAUUCCCACAGAGAAAGUUGUUAUAAAAAGAAGCACUUGGCCCCUU
Non-coding RNA from Rattus norvegicus (Norway rat), 7854 nucleotides. Lineage: Eukaryota; Metazoa; Chordata; Mammalia; Rodentia; Muridae. The record is from RefSeq and is a predicted model, not a curated record.